UCCCGCCAUCUUCCGUCAGAGAAUCCCGGCUCCUGCUGCAAUAAGAGGCUGUUCUGGAAGCUCUGGGGUUCGGGUCUUUGUCCCUGCAGUCUUUUCCAGCUAUUGUGUAGAACAUUUUGGGCAGGAGAAUCUAGGACCAAGCCACAUCAGUUCUCUCCUUAACCCACUCCAUUCGACUGUUAUCACAGCUAUGCUUCCAGAGUGCUCUGUGCAUUUUCACGAUCAGCAAACAAUGAAUAAAUCUCUGUUCUGGAAGCUGGGAAGUCCAGGAUCAAGGCACUGUCAUCUGGUACCUGAUGAGAGACUUCUUCCUGCAUCCUUACAUGGUGGAAGACAAAAGAGUGGCAGAGAAUGAAUAUACUCCCAGUCCAUUCGAGAGGGAAGAGCCCUCACCUCAUCACUUCCCUGAGGCCUCACCUUCUAAUACUAUCACCUUGGUGAUAAGAUUUCAACAUAGGAAUUAGAGGGGAAUACAUACAUCCAGACUAUUGCAGAUGGGAUUAUGUAAUACUUUGUUCCUGUUUGGCUUAUUUCUUAGCACAAUAUCUUUCUGGUAUGUGCAUGUUUCUGCAAAUGGCAAGAUUUUCUUCCUUUUUAAGGCUGAGUAAUAAUUCAUUGCAUGUAUAGACCACAUUUUCUUUAUGCAUUCAUUAUUAGUGAGAGUUCUUAUUACAAAUGGCGAAGUGGUUUUUAAUAUUGAUUUAAUUUUUGUUAUUAAAAACAUUUUUAGAUGGUUAGAUUCCUUUUUAGAAUAAAUAUACUUCAUUAGUUAAGGCAGUUUUAACUUCACAGCAGAAUUAAGAAGUACAUAGAUUUCCUAUAUACCCUAAUGCACAUAUAUAUGUAUCCUUCGCCCUUUUCAACACCUCCCCCAACCAUGGUAGUACCUUUGUUAAAAUGAGGAACCUACAUUGAGACAUCAUAGUUGUCCAAAGGCCAUAGUUUACAUUAGGGUUUACUCUUGUGGUUUUACAUGCUAUGGGUUUGAGUAAAUGUAUAAUGACAUGUAUCCAGCCUUAUAGUACCUCACAGAACACUUUGUUCUAAAAGUCAUCCCUGCUCUUCCUGUUUAUUACAUAUCAUCCCCUUAACCCUGCAAACCAUCUCCAUCAUUUCGCAUGUUACAUAGUUGCAGUUAUAUAGUAAGUAGCCUUUUCAGACUGCCUUCUUUUACUUAGUAAUAUGCUUUUAAGUUUCCUCAUCUUUUGAGGACAAGAUAGCCCAUUUCUUUUUAGUGCUGAAUUAUGUUCUAUUGUGUGUACCAUAGUUUAUCCAUUCACUUACUGAAGGGCAUCUUGGUUGCUUCCAAAUUUUAGUUAUUUUGAAUAAAGCUGCUAUAAAUCCCUGUUCA
Molecule: long non-coding RNA, 1351 nt
Filed under: Homo sapiens (human)
Lineage: Eukaryota; Metazoa; Chordata; Mammalia; Primates; Hominidae
Description: uncharacterized LOC100505874, transcript variant 3 (LOC100505874)
Source: RNAcentral